GCUCUGUAUUGAUAAAGUUAACAUAUUUAGGGUUUAAUGCUCUUUCUCAUGCUUCUUUCUUUUCAGUUCUAGAAGAGUUCAAUGGACCUCACUGAGUGUGGCUCCAUAUUGCUGCAGGCCAUGAUCCUUGGGAGCCAGUAUCCCUCAGUGACUCCAUUGCAUGAGGACCUGGACACCCAGGAGCACUGACUGCAUGCUGUUCUCUCAGCAUACGUUUCCAGUGCUGCAACCAGGGGCAGGACAGAAAAACCUCAUAUUAAGCACAUCCAGACCACAUAUCCUCAAGGAUUUGAAACAGUCUUCCACAGUUCAGAUCUCAGCUGGACACAUCUCCUUCAGAGACUUCCUCAAGGCAGGAGAGAAUUCAUAAAGCUUUGGGGGGUUCCUAGAGGAACCCAGCCUUCAUUCAGCACCUAGAAUCAACCUCCAAGUGAAAGGCA
RNAcentral lists this long non-coding RNA (440 nucleotides) under Cyanistes caeruleus (blue tit). RNAcentral's name for it is "lncRNA (ENSCCEG00000010905.1)". The record is from RNAcentral. Lineage: Eukaryota; Metazoa; Chordata; Aves; Passeriformes; Paridae.